GACGAACGCUGGCGGCGUGCUUAACACAUGCAAGUCGUACGGUAAGGCCCUUUCGGGGGUACACGAGUGGCGAACGGGUGAGUAACACGUGAGUAACCUGCCCACAACUUUGGGAUAACGCUAGGAAACUGGUGCUAAUACUGGAUAUGUGCUCCUGCUGCAUGGUGGGGGUUGGAAAGCUCCGGCGGUUGUGGAUGGACUCGCGGCCUAUCAGCUUGUUGGUGGGGUAGUGGCCUACCAAGGCGGCGACGGGUAGCCGGCCUGAGAGGGUGACCGGCCACAUUGGGGCUGGGAUACGGCCCAGACUCCUACGGGGGGCAGCAGUGGGGAAUAUUGCACAAUGGGCGCAAGCCUGAUGCAGCAACGCCGCGUGCGGGAUGACGGCCUUCGGGUUGUAAACCGCUUUCAGCAGGGACGAAGCUUUUUGUGACGGUACCUGCAGAAGAAGCACCGGCUAACUACGUG
Molecule: ribosomal RNA, 465 nt
Filed under: uncultured bacterium
Lineage: Bacteria
Description: partial 16S ribosomal RNA
Rfam family: Bacterial small subunit ribosomal RNA
Source: RNAcentral